Molecule: ribosomal RNA, 235 nt
Filed under: uncultured bacterium
Lineage: Bacteria
Description: partial 16S ribosomal RNA
Rfam family: Bacterial small subunit ribosomal RNA
Source: RNAcentral
UGAGUAACCUGCCCUUAACUCUGGGAUAAGCCUGGGAAACUGGGUCUAAUACCGGAUAUGACUCCUCAUCGCAUGGUGGGGGGUGGAAAGCUUUAUUGUGGUUUUGGAUGGACUCGCGGCCUAUCAGCUUGUUGGUGAGGUAAUGGCUCACCAAGGCGACGACGGGUAGCCGGCCUGAGAGGGUNAUCGGCCACACUGGGACUGAGACACGGCCCAGACUCCGUACGGGAGGCAG